Molecule: long non-coding RNA, 119 nt
Organism: Cucurbita maxima (winter squash)
Lineage: Eukaryota; Viridiplantae; Streptophyta; Magnoliopsida; Cucurbitales; Cucurbitaceae
Exons: 2
Source: RefSeq, a predicted model, not a curated record
UCAUCUGGAGAAACCUUCGGUUGCAAUCAAAUGAACUUCGAAGAGCUUUUUUUCUACGGAACUUCGAAGGGUAAUUAAUGUAAAACCUCAAAAUUCAAGAACAAACGAGAGGAAUAAAA